RNAcentral lists this ribosomal RNA (406 nucleotides) under uncultured bacterium. RNAcentral describes it as "partial 16S ribosomal RNA". It matches the Rfam family "Bacterial small subunit ribosomal RNA", at positions 30 to 526 of the family's 1533-position model. The record is from RNAcentral.
AUUGAACGCUGGCGGCAGGCCUAACACAUGCAAGUCGAGCGAGCGGCGGUCGGGUGAGUCAUGUAUGGGGAUCUGCCCGAUAGAGGGGGAUAACUACUGGACACGGUAGCUAACACCGCAUACCAUCAGAUGACCCCAUAUGGGUUUGGCUGGUAGGUAAGGUAAUGGCUCACCUAGGCGACGAUCCCUAGCUGGUCUGAGAGGAUGACCAGCCACACUGGAACUGAGACACGGUCCAGACUCCUACGGGAGGCAGCAGUGGGGAAUAUUGCACAAUGGGCGCAAGCCUGAUGCAGCCAUGCCGCGUGUGUGAAGAAGGCCUUCGGGUUGUAAAGCACUUUCAGCGAGGAGGCGUUACUCGCAGAAGAAGCACCGGCUAACGCCGUGCCAGCAGCCGCGGUAAUAC